CUCAGCUGGGAGAGCGCCUGCUUUGCACGCAGGAGGUCAGCGGUUCGAUCCCGCUAGGCUCCACCA
This 66-nucleotide transfer RNA is filed under the name Halobacillus sp. BAB-2008. RNAcentral describes it as "tRNA-OTHER". It matches the Rfam family "tRNA", at positions 11 to 71 of the family's 71-position model. Rfam says of the family: Transfer RNA (tRNA) molecules are approximately 80 nucleotides in length. Their secondary structure includes four short double-helical elements and three loops (D, anti-codon, and T loops). Further hydrogen bonds mediate the characteristic L-shaped molecular structure. tRNAs have two regions of fundamental functional importance: the anti-codon, which is responsible for specific mRNA codon recognition, and the 3' end, to which the tRNAs corresponding amino acid is attached (by aminoacyl-tRNA synthetases). tRNAs cope with the degeneracy of the genetic code in two manners: having more than one tRNA (with a specific anti-codon) for a particular amino acid; and 'wobble' base-pairing, i.e. permitting non-standard base-pairing at the 3rd anti-codon position. The record is from RNAcentral. Lineage: Bacteria; Bacillati; Bacillota; Bacilli; Caryophanales; Bacillaceae.